UACGUAGGGUGCGAGCGUUGUCCGGAAUUAUUGGGCGUAAAGAGCUUGUAGGCGGUUUGUCGCGUCUGCUGUGAAAAUCCGGGGCUCAACCCCGGACUUGCAGUGGGUACGGGCAGACUAGAGUUCGGCAGGGGAGACUGGAAUUCCUGGUGUAGCGGUGAAAUGCGCAGAUAUCAGGAGGAACACCAAUAGCGAAGGCAGCUCGCUGGGACGUUACUGACACUGGAGGCGCGAAAAGCGUGGGGAGCGAACAGG
Molecule: ribosomal RNA, 255 nt
Filed under: uncultured bacterium
Lineage: Bacteria
Description: partial 16S ribosomal RNA
Rfam family: Bacterial small subunit ribosomal RNA
Source: RNAcentral